RNAcentral lists this ribosomal RNA (2902 nucleotides) under human gut metagenome. RNAcentral's name for it is "bacterial LSU rRNA". It matches the Rfam family "Bacterial large subunit ribosomal RNA". The record is from RNAcentral.
UUAAGCGACUAAGCGUACACGGUGGAUGCCCUGGCAGUCAGAGGCGAUGAAGGACGUGCUAAUCUGCGAUAAGCGUCGGUAAGGUGAUAUGAACCGUUAUAACCGGCGAUUUCCGAAUGGGGAAACCCAGUGUGUUUCGACACACUAUCAUUAACUGAAUCCAUAGGUUAAUGAGGCGAACCGGGAGAACUGAAACAUCUAAGUACCCCGAGGAAAAGAAAUCAACCGAGAUUCCCCCAGUAGCGGCGAGCGAACGGGGAGCAGCCCAGAGCCUGAAUCAGUGUGUGUGUUAGUGGAAGCGUCUGGAAAGGCGCGCGAUACAGGGUGACAGCCCCGUACACAAAAAUGCACAUGCUGUGAGCUCGAUGAGUAGGGCGGGACACGUGGUAUCCUGUCUGAAUAUGGGGGGACCAUCCUCCAAGGCUAAAUACUCCUGACUGACCGAUAGUGAACCAGUACCGUGAGGGAAAGGCGAAAAGAACCCCGGCGAGGGGAGUGAAAAAGAACCUGAAACCGUGUACGUACAAGCAGUGGGAGCACGCUUAGGCGUGUGACUGCGUACCUUUUGUAUAAUGGGUCAGCGACUUAUAUUCUGUAGCAAGGUUAACCGAAUAGGGGAGCCGAAGGGAAACCGAGUCUUAACUGGGCGUUAAGUUGCAGGGUAUAGACCCGAAACCCGGUGAUCUAGCCAUGGGCAGGUUGAAGGUUGGGUAACACUAACUGGAGGACCGAACCGACUAAUGUUGAAAAAUUAGCGGAUGACUUGUGGCUGGGGGUGAAAGGCCAAUCAAACCGGGAGAUAGCUGGUUCUCCCCGAAAGCUAUUUAGGUAGCGCCUCGUGAAUUCAUCUCCGGGGGUAGAGCACUGUUUCGGCAAGGGGGUCAUCCCGACUUACCAACCCGAUGCAAACUGCGAAUACCGGAGAAUGUUAUCACGGGAGACACACGGCGGGUGCUAACGUCCGUCGUGAAGAGGGAAACAACCCAGACCGCCAGCUAAGGUCCCAAAGUCAUGGUUAAGUGGGAAACGAUGUGGGAAGGCCCAGACAGCCAGGAUGUUGGCUUAGAAGCAGCCAUCAUUUAAAGAAAGCGUAAUAGCUCACUGGUCGAGUCGGCCUGCGCGGAAGAUGUAACGGGGCUAAACCAUGCACCGAAGCUGCGGCAGCGACGCUUAUGCGUUGUUGGGUAGGGGAGCGUUCUGUAAGCCUGUGAAGGUGUGCUGUGAGGCAUGCUGGAGGUAUCAGAAGUGCGAAUGCUGACAUAAGUAACGAUAAAGCGGGUGAAAAGCCCGCUCGCCGGAAGACCAAGGGUUCCUGUCCAACGUUAAUCGGGGCAGGGUGAGUCGACCCCUAAGGCGAGGCCGAAAGGCGUAGUCGAUGGGAAACAGGUUAAUAUUCCUGUACUUGGUGUUACUGCGAAGGGGGGACGGAGAAGGCUAUGUUGGCCGGGCGACGGUUGUCCCGGUUUAAGCGUGUAGGCUGGUUUUCCAGGCAAAUCCGGAAAAUCAAGGCUGAGGCGUGAUGACGAGGCACUACGGUGCUGAAGCAACAAAUGCCCUGCUUCCAGGAAAAGCCUCUAAGCAUCAGGUAACAUCAAAUCGUACCCCAAACCGACACAGGUGGUCAGGUAGAGAAUACCAAGGCGCUUGAGAGAACUCGGGUGAAGGAACUAGGCAAAAUGGUGCCGUAACUUCGGGAGAAGGCACGCUGAUAUGUAGGUGAAGUCCCUCGCGGAUGGAGCUGAAAUCAGUCGAAGAUACCAGCUGGCUGCAACUGUUUAUUAAAAACACAGCACUGUGCAAACACGAAAGUGGACGUAUACGGUGUGACGCCUGCCCGGUGCCGGAAGGUUAAUUGAUGGGGUUAGCGCAAGCGAAGCUCUUGAUCGAAGCCCCGGUAAACGGCGGCCGUAACUAUAACGGUCCUAAGGUAGCGAAAUUCCUUGUCGGGUAAGUUCCGACCUGCACGAAUGGCGUAAUGAUGGCCAGGCUGUCUCCACCCGAGACUCAGUGAAAUUGAACUCGCUGUGAAGAUGCAGUGUACCCGCGGCAAGACGGAAAGACCCCGUGAACCUUUACUAUAGCUUGACACUGAACAUUGAGCCUUGAUGUGUAGGAUAGGUGGGAGGCUUUGAAGUGUGGACGCCAGUCUGCAUGGAGCCGACCUUGAAAUACCACCCUUUAAUGUUUGAUGUUCUAACGUUGACCCGUGAUCCGGGUUGCGGACAGUGUCUGGUGGGUAGUUUGACUGGGGCGGUCUCCUCCUAAAGAGUAACGGAGGAGCACGAAGGUUGGCUAAUCCUGGUCGGACAUCAGGAGGUUAGUGCAAUGGCAUAAGCCAGCUUGACUGCGAGCGUGACGGCGCGAGCAGGUGCGAAAGCAGGUCAUAGUGAUCCGGUGGUUCUGAAUGGAAGGGCCAUCGCUCAACGGAUAAAAGGUACUCCGGGGAUAACAGGCUGAUACCGCCCAAGAGUUCAUAUCGACGGCGGUGUUUGGCACCUCGAUGUCGGCUCAUCACAUCCUGGGGCUGAAGUAGGUCCCAAGGGUAUGGCUGUUCGCCAUUUAAAGUGGUACGCGAGCUGGGUUUAGAACGUCGUGAGACAGUUCGGUCCCUAUCUGCCGUGGGCGCUGGAGAACUGAGGGGGGCUGCUCCUAGUACGAGAGGACCGGAGUGGACGCAUCACUGGUGUUCGGGUUGUCAUGCCAAUGGCACUGCCCGGUAGCUAAAUGCGGAAGAGAUAAGUGCUGAAAGCAUCUAAGCACGAAACUUGCCCCGAGAUGAGUUCUCCCUGACUCCUUGAGAGUCCUGAAGGAACGUUGAAGACGACGACGUUGAUAGGCCGGGUGUGUAAGCGCAGCGAUGCGUUGAGCUAACCGGUACUAAUGAACCGUGAGGCUUAACCUU